CAAGAAUCCUCACUGUGACCUGAACCUUUCCUUACACUGUGAAUUCAGGAUCCAAGGACUGCAGAGGCUCUGAAAAUGAACUGUGCCCCAGGACCAGUGAUUGUAUUAGUCUUAAUGUUUGGAGGAAGCAAUGGUGACUCGGUGACCCAGACAGAAGGUCAGGUGAUCAUCUCUGAAGGGACUUCCCUGACUGUGAACUGUUCCUAUGAAACCUCACAGUAUCCUGCCCUAUUCUGGUAUGUCCAAUAUACUGGAGAAGGUCCACAGCUCCUUUUUAGAGUCUCAAAAGCCAAUGAGAAGGGCAGCAACAAAGGUUUUGAAGCCACGUACAAUAAAGAAACUUCCUCCUUCCACUUGAAGAAAGCUUCCAUUCAAGAGUCAGACUCGGCUGUGUACUACUGUGCUCUGAGUGACACAGUGGCAGAAUCUGCAGGGGGAGCUGAGCACAAACUCUGAGUAGCAACCAGGGGCCUGGCGGCUGAGCAUCUGCCUUAGAUCUCUCUGGUUUGGGGACCAGGAACUACUCUGCUAUCAUAGCCAUCUGACAUCCACCCAGGCAGUGCUAUGCUAUCAAAGUCAUCUAAACCAAACCCUAGAACACUUCAAAAGAACAAGAAGUAAACAAGCCUCAAACAAGAUGCCUUAACAGUGAGGGUAAAAACAGU
Non-coding RNA from Marmota monax (woodchuck), 665 nucleotides. The record is from the annotation of a RefSeq genome assembly. NCBI's taxonomy places the organism in Eukaryota, Metazoa, Chordata, Mammalia, Rodentia, Sciuridae.